GUGCUUGCUUCGACAGCACUGGAACUAAAUUUGGAAAGAUACAGAGAAGACUAGCAUGGCCCCGGGGCAAGGACGACAUGCAAAUUCGUGAAGCAUUCCAUGUUUUU
Molecule: small nuclear RNA, 107 nt
Organism: Nannospalax galili (Upper Galilee mountains blind mole rat)
Lineage: Eukaryota; Metazoa; Chordata; Mammalia; Rodentia; Spalacidae
Source: Ensembl